Molecule: ribosomal RNA, 377 nt
Filed under: uncultured bacterium
Lineage: Bacteria
Description: bacterial SSU rRNA
Rfam family: Bacterial small subunit ribosomal RNA
Source: RNAcentral
GAUCUGGGCGUAAGCGUGCGCAGGCGGAUGUUUAGUCAGAUGUGAAAUCCCCGGGCUCAACCUGGGAAUUGCAUUUGAAACUGGGYAUCUAGAGUGCGGCAGAGGGGGGUGGAAUUCCUCGUGUAGCGGUGAAAUGCGUAGAUAUSUGGAGGAACACCGAUGGCGAAGGCAGCCCCCUGGGMUUAUACUGACGCUCAUGCMCGAAAGCGUGGGGAGCAAACAGGAUUAGAUACCCUGGUAGUCCACGCCCUAAACKAUGUCAACUAGGUGUUGGGGACUUAAAUUCUUAUCUGACGAAGCUAAUAACGUGAUAUUUACCCCCUGGGGAGUACAGCCUCAGGGUUGAAACUCUCANGAGUUGUGGGGGGAGCACACAA